AUGCACGCUGGCGGCGUGCCUAAUACAUGCAAGUCGAGCGAACAGACGAGGAGCUUGCUCCUCUGACGUUAGCGGCGGACGGGUGAGUAACACGUGGAUAACCUACCUAUAAGACUGGGUUAACUUCGGGAAACCGGAGCUAAUACCGGAUAAUAUAUUGAACCGCAUGGUUCAAUAGUGAAAGACGGUUUUGCUGUCACUUAUAGAUGGAUCCGCGCCGCAUUAGCUAGUUGGUAAGGUAACGGCUUACCAAGGCGACGAUGCGUAGCCGACCUGAGAGGGUGAUCGGCCACACUGGAACUGAGACACGGUCCAGACUCCUACGGGAGGCAGCAGUAGGGAAUCUUCCGCAAUGGGCGAAAGCUUGACGGAGCAACGCCGCGUGAGUGAUGAAGGUCUUCGGAUCGUAAAACUCUGUUAUUAGGGAAGAACAAAUGUGUAAGUAACUAUGCACGUCUUGACGGUACCUAAUCAGAAAGCCACGGCUAACUACGUG
Molecule: ribosomal RNA, 496 nt
Filed under: uncultured bacterium
Lineage: Bacteria
Description: partial 16S ribosomal RNA
Rfam family: Bacterial small subunit ribosomal RNA
Source: RNAcentral